AGUGAACGCUGGCGGUAGGCCUAACACAUGCAAGUCGAACGGCAGCACAGUAAGAGCUUGCUCUUACGGGUGGCGAGUGGCGGACGGGUGAGGAAUACAUCGGAAUCUACUUUUUCGUGGGGGAUAACGUAGGGAAACUUACGCUAAUACCGCAUACGACCUACGGGUGAAAGCGGGGGAUCUUCGGACCUUGCGCGAUUGAAUGAGCCGAUGUCGGAUUAGCUAGUUGGCGGGGUAAAGGCCCACCAAGGCGACGAUCCGUAGCUGGUCUGAGAGGAUGAUCAGCCACACUGGAACUGAGACACGGUCCAGACUCCUACGGGAGGCAGCAGUGGGGAAUAUUGGACAAUGGGCGCAAGCCUGAUCCAGCCAUACCGCGUGGGUGAAGAAGGCCUUCGGGUUGUAAAGCCCUCUUGUUGGGAAAGAAAAGCAGCAGGUUAAUACCCCGCUGUUCUGACGGUACCCAAAGAAUAAGCACCGGCUAACUUCGUG
Molecule: ribosomal RNA, 492 nt
Filed under: uncultured bacterium
Lineage: Bacteria
Description: partial 16S ribosomal RNA
Rfam family: Bacterial small subunit ribosomal RNA
Source: RNAcentral